AUUGAACGCUGGCGGCAGGCCUAACACAUGCAAGUCGAACGAGUGGCGGACGGGUGAGUAAUGUCUGGGAAACUGCCUGAAGGAGGGGGAUAACUACUGGAAACGGUAGCUAAUACCUCAUACCAUCGGAUGUGCCCAGAUGGGAGUAGCUAGUAGGUGGGGUAAAGGCUAACCUAGGCGACGAUCCCUAGCUGGUAUGAGAGGAUGACCAGCCACACGUGCACUGAGACACGGGCCAGACGCCUACGGUAGUCAGCAGUGGGGAAUAUUGCACGAGGGGCGCAAGCCUGAUGCAGCCAUGCCGCGUGGAUGAAGAAGGCCUUCUGGUUGUAAAGUACUUUCAGCGGGGAGGCGUUACCCGCAGAAGAAGCACCGGCUAACUCCGUGCCAGCCGCCGCGGUAAUUC
This 406-nucleotide ribosomal RNA is filed under the name uncultured bacterium. RNAcentral describes it as "partial 16S ribosomal RNA". It matches the Rfam family "Bacterial small subunit ribosomal RNA", at positions 30 to 526 of the family's 1533-position model. The record is from RNAcentral.